This is a long non-coding RNA of Xyrauchen texanus (razorback sucker), 1484 nucleotides long. RefSeq lists it as uncharacterized. The transcript is spliced from 3 exons. Lineage: Eukaryota; Metazoa; Chordata; Actinopteri; Cypriniformes; Catostomidae. The record is from RefSeq and is a predicted model, not a curated record.
AAUUCCUUUAUUUCAUAUUCAUAUUCAAUAACAUGAACUUCUGUUCUGUCAUUUAUUAUCCAGUUUCAACAUGUUAAAAGAGUGGAAAAGAAACAUGUUUGUUACUUUAAUUCAAGGAAAUAGCAACAGAUCAAGUUUUACUCACACAAGGAAAAUGUGAAAUGAAUACAUCAUUUAAUUUAAAGAAAUAUGUCAAAUAAAUUGCAUUUAAAUGAGCUGUACAACAGAUAAAACACUAUAAUCUGGAGAUUUUAAAGGAGAAUGUUUGUGGUUAUUACAAUUGCAUUAAUCAAGUUGCAAUAAAUGUGUCACACAUCAACAUAUAAAGUCUCUCUUCUGGCUCACGGUAACUUCUCGUUUGGCAGUGAAAAGCACAAAACAUCUUUUCAGCACCAAUCAAAAGCUAAAAACACGAGAACGACUGAAGUGUCCCAAUAAAGAACAGAGACACUAAAACGAUCUUUACGGACCUGCUUCAGGAAUAUACUAUACACACUAUAUUUACAGUCUUUUACUACUAUGUACUUACAUUAAAAUGCUACAAUAUAAUGUAUUUAUUGUGUAACUACAUGUUGUUCUGCAAAAUUCUCACAUGAUUUACAGUUGCAGCUACUGAGGUUGAGGUAGAUUUUGAGUUUAGGGCUAGGUUAAAGUUAGGUCAGGGUAAAGUUAGGGUCAGGGUAAAGUUAGGGCUAGGGUAAAGUUAGGGCUAGGGUAAAGUUAGGGCUAGGGUAAAGUUAGGUCAGGGUAAAGUUAGGUCAGGGUAAAGUUAGGGUCAGGGUAAAGUUAGGGUCAGGGUAAAGUUAGGGUCAGGGUAAAGUUAGGGUCAGGGUAAAGUUAGGGCUAGGUUAAAGUUAGGGCUAGGUUAAAGUUAGGGCUAGGGUAAAGUUAGGGCUAGGGUAAAGUUAGGGUCAGUUUAAUGUUAGGGUCAGGGUAAAGUUAGGGCUAGGUUAAAGUUAGGUCAGGGUAAAGUUAGGGUCAGUUUAAUGUUAGGGUCAGGGUAAAGUUAGGGUCAGGGUAAAGUUAGGGCUAGUUUAAAGUUAGGGUCAGGGUAAAGUUAGAGUCAGUUUAAUGUUAGGGUCAGGGUAAAGUUAGGGCUAGGUUAAAGUUAGGUCAGGGUAAAGUUAGGGUCAGUUUAAUGUUAGGGUCAGGGUAAAGUUAGGGUCAGGGUAAAGUUAGGGCUAGGUUAAAGUUAGGGCUAGGUUAAAGUUAGGGCUAGGGUAAAGUUAGGGCUAGGGUAAAGUUAGGGUCAGGUUAAAGUUAGGGCUAGGUUAAAGUUAGGGUCAGGGUAAAGUUAGGGUCAGGUUAAAGUUAGGGUCAGGGUAAAGUUAGGGUCAGGGUAAAGUUAGGGUCAGGGUAAAGUUAGGGUCAGGGUAAAGUUAGGGCUAGGUUAAAGUUAGGUCAGGGUAAAGUUAGGGUCAGGGUAAAGUUAGGGUCAGGGUAAAGUUAGGUCAGGGUAAAGUUAGGACUAGGUUAAAGUUAGG